Long non-coding RNA from Drosophila obscura, 642 nucleotides. RefSeq lists it as uncharacterized. The record is from RefSeq and is a predicted model, not a curated record. The transcript has 2 exons. NCBI's taxonomy places the organism in Eukaryota, Metazoa, Arthropoda, Insecta, Diptera, Drosophilidae.
CUAGUCUUAUUUUAUAAUGUCAACUUUUCACGUUCCAAAUAUCAUACAUAUGUUUUUCUCUUUACAAACCUUGUUUCAAGAUCAACUUUGAAUUCCUGACGAAAAGGAAAUGCAAAAACUAUCUAACCAUGAAAGAAGAAACAAAAAAUAAUAAAGAUUAAAGAUCUCUGAAACAUUUACUAAAAUUUUUGCUUUUUUUUCUUAGGCUUACUUAAAGCGUGUCUAGCGCAAAUCACUCUGUGCUACAUUGGUUGUGUACUUUUUACGAGAGCAAUGUUAUGUUGUACCAGUUAACACGAGUUGCAGUGCAUCACUCCAGCUUAGAGGCAAGCGAUAUCCGAGCUAGCGGAUGCGCAGCCGGCAGCUGUGAAGAGGAGAAAUCCGAUCCUCAACAUGCGCGCGACUUAUGUAUCCAGAUGUAUUUAAGCGAGCGUAAUUAUUACCGUAACUCCUCCCCCCUUAGUGAGAAGUGUGGCCAUAAUGUAUAAAUUGUCGAGACUUAUACAGCGGUUACUAGGGAUCGACUAUAGAAUUGGGCCAAAAUUAAAAAAUAUAAUUUUAAUUUCUGUAUCGUAAUAUUAAUUUUUUUGAUUACAAUAUGUGUGUAUAUUUAAAAGUAAAAUUAUGAUAUUUUUGUCUGUA